UUUAAGUCUGCAUUUCUAAAAGAGUUGGUUAAUACCUGUCGAAACAAUCCUCAUCCCAUGUUAAUCGGGGGGGAUUUCAACAUCCUUCGAUAUCAGCAGGAAAAAAACAACGAUCGGUUUGACACUAGGUGGCCUUUCCUCUUUAAUGUUGUUAUUGACAGCCUCGAUCUGAGGGAGAUCACGAUGUCUGGUCGUCAGUAUACCUGGGCCAACAACCGUUCGGUGCCGACCUUUGAAAAACUGGACCGGGUGCUAGUUACCACUGACUGGGAAUACAAAUAUCCCCUAGCAUCGGUUCGGGCACUUGAAAGAAUUGAGGCCUUAUCGGAUCACGCUCCGUUGCUAAUCGAUUUUGGACAACCAAUCCCGAGUUCUAAUCGCCACCAGUUUAAAUUUGAACUGGGAUGGUUCACUAGAGAGGGAUUUCAGGAGCUAGUUAAGAAAGUGUGGGCACGCCAGCCCCGCGGU
Molecule: ribosomal RNA, 468 nt
Filed under: Triticum aestivum (bread wheat)
Lineage: Eukaryota; Viridiplantae; Streptophyta; Magnoliopsida; Poales; Poaceae
Description: partial small subunit ribosomal RNA
Source: RNAcentral